CUCAUUCUUUGUGUGUUUUCAUUGUGUGCCAAGGCAACAACUAUGAACCUAGCUGAUGCUUCUGUGCUUCGUCCAAGCUCGUAUGGAAUGGUUAAGAGAAGAAGUCUACCUAUUGAUCAAGAACAGGCAGAUCCAAUUAAGAGUGGAGCUGGAUCAACUUUUGGAAAUCAAAAAAAUAAGCCAGCUGAUAAACCAUGUUGUGGCAAUUACUAGAUGUUGUGUUGCUAUAGAGUGGUUCUUCUUUGUAUAUAAGUUAUGGUACCAUUUGUACUCUAUUCAAUAUAUUUAUUUUUAGGGAAAAUGUAUAUGUUAUUUUUAAUCUCAAUAAACAAAUUGUUAAUCUAA
Non-coding RNA from Cicer arietinum (chickpea), 345 nucleotides. The record is from RefSeq and is a predicted model, not a curated record. Lineage: Eukaryota; Viridiplantae; Streptophyta; Magnoliopsida; Fabales; Fabaceae.